Unclassified non-coding RNA from Pongo abelii (Sumatran orangutan), 153 nucleotides. It matches the Rfam family "Metazoan signal recognition particle RNA". From Rfam's summary of the family: The signal recognition particle (SRP) is a universally conserved ribonucleoprotein. It is involved in the co-translational targeting of proteins to membranes. NCBI's taxonomy places the organism in Eukaryota, Metazoa, Chordata, Mammalia, Primates, Hominidae. The record is from Ensembl.
GCUGGGUGUGGCAGUGUGCACCUGUAGUCCCAGCUACUUAGGAGGCUGAGAUGGGAGGAUUGCUUGAGCCCAGGAGUUCGAGACUGCAGUGAGCUAUCAUAUGAUUGUGCCACUGCACUCGAGCCUGGGUGACAGAGCAAGACUCCAUUUCUA